This 385-nucleotide long non-coding RNA is filed under the name Helianthus annuus (common sunflower). RNAcentral's name for it is "sRNA HanXRQr2_Chr07g0306901". Lineage: Eukaryota; Viridiplantae; Streptophyta; Magnoliopsida; Asterales; Asteraceae. The record is from RNAcentral.
GAUGAAUAUGAAAAUAUUAUAUUACUAUAAUAAUAAUCCAAUCUUUUCAGUUUUCAUAAGACUAUUUAAGAUGCAAAAAUUACAAAUACACUUUUGACGACUUUCAAGUUUUGACCCGCUUCAUUUUAACGAAUUUUAGUUACCUUUUUACCUGUCAGAGAUGAUGCAAAAUAACCACCGCUAUGUUCAAUUGCUAGAAGGCAUAUUUAUGUGAUAUUAACAGUUGAUAUGAAGCUUGCAUAGCCUACAGGCCAAAUCCACUCCCUCUCUUACACAUUUAUGAAAUACAAAAUACGUAAGGUCAAUGUAAUAAAUGAAGUUUAGAGAUGAGAUUCGUAGCUUUGAGUAAAAAGCCAAUGUCGUCCCUCUGAGGUUUGGCCAGUUU